This 1474-nucleotide ribosomal RNA is filed under the name Rhodococcus sp. IN204. RNAcentral's name for it is "partial 16S ribosomal RNA". It matches the Rfam family "Bacterial small subunit ribosomal RNA". The record is from RNAcentral. Lineage: Bacteria; Bacillati; Actinomycetota; Actinomycetes; Mycobacteriales; Nocardiaceae.
UAGAGUUUGNACNUGGCUCAGGACGAACGCUNGNGGCGUGNUUAACACAUGCAAGUCGAGCGGUAAGNCCUUUNGGGGUACACGAGCGGCGAACGGGUGAGUAACACGUGGGUGAUCUGCCNUGCACUCGGGAUAAGCCUGGGAAANUGGGUCUAAUACCGGAUAUGACCUCNUAUCGCAUGNUGGGUGGUGGAAAGAUUUAUCGGUNCAGGAUGGGCCCGCGGCCUAUCAGCUUGUUGGUGGGGUAAUGGCNUCCAAGGCGANGACGGGUAGCCGACCUGAGAGGGUGACCGGCCACACUGNGANUGAGACACGGCCCAGACUCNUACGGGAGGCAGCAGUGGGGAAUAUUGCACAAUGGGNGAAAGCCUGAUGCAGNGNGCCGCGUGAGGGANGACGGCNUUCGGGUUGUAAACNUCUUUCAGCAGGGACGAAGCGCAAGUGACGGUACCUGCAGAAGAAGCACCGGCUAACUACGUGCCAGCAGCCGCGGUAAUACGUAGGGUGCAGCGUUGUNCGGAAUUACUGGGCGUAAAGAGUUCGUAGGCGGUUUGUCGNGUCGNUUGUGAAAACCAGCAGCUCAACUGCUGAGCUUGCAGNGCGAUACUGGGCAGACUUGAGUACUGCAGGGGAGAUGGAAUUCCUGGUGUAGCGGUGAAAUGCGCAGAUAUCAGGAGGAACACCGGUGGCGAAGGCGGNUCUCUGGGCNGUAACUGACGCUGAGGAACGAAAGCGUGGGUAGCGAACAGGAUUAGAUACCCUGUAGUCCACGCCGUAAACGGUGGGCGCUAGGUGUGGGUUCCUUCCACGGAAUCCGUGCCGUANCUAACGCAUUAAGCNCCCCNCCUGGGGAGUACGGCCGCAAGGCUAAAACUCAAAGGAAUUGACGGGGCCCGCACAAGCGGCGGANCNUGUGNAUUANUUCNAUGCNACGCNAANAACCUUACCUGGNUUUGACAUAUACCGGAAAGCUGCANANAUGUGGCCCCCCUUGUGGUCGGUAUACAGGUGGNGCAGGCUGUCGUCAGCUCGUGUCGUGAGAUGUUGGGUUAAGUCCCGCAACGAGCGCAACCCCUAUCUUAUGUUGCCAGCACGUUAUGGUGNGGACUCNNAAGAGACUGCCGGGGUCAACUCGGAGGAAGGGGGGACGACGUCAAGUCAUCAUGCCCCUUAUGUCCAGGGCUUCACACAUGCUACAAUGGCCAGUACAGAGGGCUGCGAGACCGUGAGGUGGAGCGAAUCCCUUAAAGCUGGUCUCAGUUCGGAUCGGGUCUGCAACUCGACCCCGUGAAGUCGGAGUCGCUAGUAAUCNCAGAUCAUCAACGCUGCGGUGAAUACGUUCCCGGGCCUUGUACACACCGCCCGUCACGUCAUGAAAGUCNGUAACACCCGAAGCCGUGGCUUAACCCCUUGUGGGAGGGAGCCGUCGAGGUGGGAUCGGCGAUUGGACGAAGUCGUAACAAGGUAACCNUAA